Molecule: long non-coding RNA, 847 nt
Organism: Zingiber officinale
Lineage: Eukaryota; Viridiplantae; Streptophyta; Magnoliopsida; Zingiberales; Zingiberaceae
Exons: 3
Source: RefSeq, a predicted model, not a curated record
ACGUCAUUUACGCCCGAGUCUUCUUCCUCGCGAACCCGUGCUUUGCCCUAACCGGCGCCGCAGCGGUUUCUUGCCCCUUCCUCGCGUAUAAGCUGUGGCCGAGUUCUCAUUUCUUUCUCUUCUCCUCUUCAUCUUCUCCUACCCGUGCCCUAAAUCUGCUACCCACUUCUCUUCUUCUACCACCGCCGAUGCCACAAAAAUGAAGCUAGCACAGCGACGCCAGCCGAACGCCGACCAUCUCUCCUCUUUUUUUUCAUCUGUGCUCGUGCCCUAGUUAGCCACCGGCGCCCGUCGCCCCUCGCCGUGGAGAUCACAGUGGCAUCGCCGACACUCCCCUAUUCCCUAGCACCCUCUGCCCUAGCGUCGGCAACCAAGGCUUCUUCCCUUUGUGUUGCCAUCGGCCACCGCAGCCGACGCCAACUUCACUGUGCGUUGUCAUCCCGUGCCCUAGUGCUACCUCAGUUCAUCUCUUUUUCUCAGUUUCCUCAGCCCCUCUGCCUAGGUUUGAAGCAUACACAUGUGGAUUUCUGUUAACAUUAGUGUUUGGUGUUGAGUCGGUGGAUUCCUGCUCAAGCAGCAACUGCUGUUUCCAGCAGAGAAGUGUUCCAACAACAACCUCUGUUUCCAGCAGAGAAUUUCUCCAGUAGAAUCUUGCUCCAGCAGCCGUAAGGUUGAUGCUGUCCGGAGAGUUCUAGCCGCUAGUUCCCUGCAGUCCAUGAAGACGAGUGUUGCUCUUUUAGUUUUUCUUGUUUAGACUGUGUUUAGACUUAUUCAGCUUUUAACAACUGGACUUGUAUUAGUUUACUUUUGAAUAUUGCCUAUAAGUUUUAUUGGAUUUGUUUUACUA